Long non-coding RNA from Siniperca chuatsi (mandarin fish), 2673 nucleotides. RefSeq lists it as uncharacterized. NCBI's taxonomy places the organism in Eukaryota, Metazoa, Chordata, Actinopteri, Centrarchiformes, Sinipercidae. The transcript has 2 exons. The record is from RefSeq and is a predicted model, not a curated record.
GCAAGAGGGAGAGAUGGAAAGAUGGAUCAAGAGGAAAAAACAGCAUGAGUGUGAGGGAGAAAAUAAAGAAGGGAAGAGAAGGAGGCAUGGAGGAAACCAACAAAAUACAGGUCAGACUCUUUGCCUGUCUGGUGUUUAUGUCCUAGGCUGAAGAAGAGAGGGAUGGAGGGAGGAAGUCAGGACGACUGGCCUGUUUGCUCAGAGCACAAAUGUCCCUCACUGUGGUCAUUUCAAUCUUUUUCUCUUUUCUCCCUCUAUCUUUUCCUCUCCUAACAUUCAGUUCAUGUCUUCCUCCCCUCUCGUUUUCACUCUUUCCACCCCCCUCUGCCUCUCUCUUUCUCUGUCCUUCUUUCCCACUGGGACGACUGCCAUGUGCUUUGGAGGCCCUCAGAGAUGUAACCACACAUUGGAGCUGUAGCAGGGGGUAGAAGAAGAAGAAGGCUCCAGAAAAAGCUCUGCUGGCGCUCCCAGCCAAGACACCAGCCAGAAACCAAACUGGAUGUGGUGAAACUGUCAAAUUACUUAAGGAAACUGCAGCAAAACCUCAGGAGACGAAAAACAGAAAGGGAGAGGAGUUUUUUUUUAUUUCAUUGUGUUGCAAAACAAGCAAAGCAAAAUGCUAUUUGUAAAAUAAUUUAUGCUUUAAAAAACUUGUAAGUGGGGAAGCAUGGCUAACAGUAUUCAUUUUCCGUGACUUUUUUUUCUUCUCAAAAGUACUUUGAAUUGGUCUAGGAUAAGAAUAGCCUUCUUCAUCCAGGUUGCUUUGCAAAAUAUUUGUAGUUUAGUUAAAAACGUAUUUAUGAACUGUAUCGUUCAAGUGAAAUCCAGCUGGGGACCUUUGUUGCAUGUCAUUGUACCCUUAUUUCAUGUCAGCUCUCUAAUAAAGAAAUAAAAUGUCCCCAAAAUACUAUUUAUUUUAAUGAAUUUAAACACUAAGGCCAUGUUCACAUUAAAUAAGUGUCUGUUUUUGGCCACACUAAGCCAUCAUCUUUGACCUCCGGAAAUAACUUUUUAAAAAGAUGCCUCCGAAAGUUGAGAAAUUUGAUGUAUGUACCAAUCAUGAUGCUGGAACAUAACAGACAACAUAAGCUUGUUUAAAGUUUAUUGUAAAACUGCAAACCUGUCUAAAUAGAAUAGUAUCACCAUGGCAAUUAUUUUGUGAAAGAAACCAACAAAACCACAUCCAUUUGCAACCCAGUCCCUAGAAAUUACGUUUAUAUAAUCCCAAUUUGUUUUGCCAGUUACGUUUUGGAAGAAACAUAAUUUAUGCCUAGAGUAUGUUCAGUGCCAACAUUUCUUUUAGUGUACUGUAGCAAGUGCUACUUUUUUGUACCACAUGCAAGUCAUAGGGAGUUCCCGGUGUGGAUGGAGGGUGAACAAAACACAAGACUUUUUAGGCACCAAAUGUACUUUGGUUAAGAUUAGGGAAAGAUCGGAGUUUCCAUUACUUGUCAUUAAAGUAAACACGUCGUGUCUUUUUCAGUGUUUAACCAAGACCACAGUCUUUCUCAAACCUUUACAAAGUACUGUCAGUGCCUGAAAAUAACCGUAAAAAAAUAUUAUAAUGCUUUAGUUGCUACGAGUGAAUAUUGUAUAGCAAGAGCGGAUAUUGUUGGAAAACAAAUUAAAUAUGUUGCAGAUAUUUUCCGUAUGGUAUAAACAGUUUGCGACUCGCCAGAUACAUUCAUUUUCAGUAAGAAAUUUAAUUCAGGUGACAUUAUUUUCUUUAUUUUCUUUCAAAUGUAUUUGCUGUUGCAAUUUAGUAGUAUGUAAACGUAAAUUCUAGGAGACCGGGUUGCCAAACUGAAGUUUGUCUAAAACUAUGGAUACUUGCAAUAAUACUGAUCAUCGGUUCAUCAUCCCCCCACACACACACACACAACAGAGAAACAAUGUAAUUCCUUUUACUGCUCCACUCAGCAUUGAGUGGUAAAAACAAAGCUCUCAGUGCCGUCGACUUUCAGCGACUGUAAUGAGAUAAAGAAGUUCUCAGUAGCAUCAGCUUCCUCAUUUCCCAUAACUUCAAAACACGCUCUUGCUCUGCUGGAGGUGCAGAUUGUUUGGGAUCUUUUUCCCCCUGUAUAUUUUAAUUUGUGAAAAGUUUACAAACAACUGGUUUAUGUACUUGUAUUUGCACUGAAAUGUAUAUGGGCUUUUAUUUUGACAUUGCUGCCUGUUAAACAGUUUCAUGUCAUUUAAGAAGAAGAUGUAAUAUGAAAACGUUGUAAGAGUUGACAUAAGGGAUGAAUCAGCUCAAGGCCUGAGUGGAUCAUUAGGCUGCUAUAAAUCACUGCUAUAUGUUUCAAGUGUUGCCAUUUGUGUUUGUGUGUGCAUGUGUGUCUGCCCUUACACUGUGCUCUGGCUCCACUGAGACUCCAUGCCCAGCAGUUAUAGACAGCAGACAUGGCUUUAACUUCCAAUGCCUCCAUCUCUUUCUCACACACACACACACGUGCAUGCACACACACACACACACACACACACACACACACACACACACACACACACACACACACACACACACACACACCUCCUCCUCACUCCAUAACAAACAGCAAGAGUCUGGGCCCCCAAGGCUUCCUGUAUCCUACACACAGCCAGCAAAUAAACACAAUCACAUUCAUUUACCCCUACACACACACACACACACACACACACACACACACACACACA